Molecule: ribosomal RNA, 383 nt
Filed under: Escherichia coli
Lineage: Bacteria; Pseudomonadati; Pseudomonadota; Gammaproteobacteria; Enterobacterales; Enterobacteriaceae
Description: bacterial SSU rRNA
Rfam family: Bacterial small subunit ribosomal RNA
Source: RNAcentral
UUCGCUGACGAGUGGCGGACGGGUGAGUAAUGUCUGGGAAACUGCCUGAUGGAGGGGGAUAACUACUGGAAACGGUAGCUAAUACCGCAUAACGUCGCAAGACCAAAGAGGGGGACCUUCGGGCCUCUUGCCAUCGGAUGUGCCCAGAUGGGAUUAGCUUGUUGGUGGGGUAACGGCUCACCAAGGCGACGAUCCCUAGCUGGUCUGAGAGGAUGACCAGCCACACUGGAACUGAGACACGGUCCAGACUCCUACGGGAGGCAGCAGUGGGGAAUAUUGCACAAUGGGCGCAAGCCUGAUGCAGCCAUGCCGCGUGUAUGAAGAAGGCCUUCGGGUUGUAAAGUACUUUCAGCGGGGAGGAAGGGAGUAAAGUUAAUACCUUU